GACGAACGCUGGCGGCGUGCCUAAUACAUGCAAGUCGAACGCUUCUUUCCUCCCGAGUGCUUGCACUCAAUUGGAAAGAGGAGUGGCGGACGGGUGAGUAACACGUGGGUAACCUACCCAUCAGAGGGGGAUGACACUUGGAAACAGGUGCUAAUACCGCAUAACAGUUUAUGCCGCAUGGCAUAAGAGUGAAAGGCGCUUUCGGGUGUCGCUGAUGGAUGGACCCGCGGUGCAUUAGCUAGUUGGUGAGGUAACGGCUCACCAAGGCCACGAUGCAUAGCCGACCUGAGAGGGUGAUCGGCCACACUGGGACUGAGACACGGCCCAGACUCCUACGGGAGGCAGCAGUAGGGAAUCUUCGGCAAUGGACGAAAGUCUGACCGAGCAACGCCGCGUGAGUGAAGAAGGUUUUCGGAUCGUAAAACUCUGUUGUUAGAGAAGAACAAGGACGUUAGUAACUGAACGUCCCCUGACGGUAUCUAACCAGAAAGCCACGGCUAACUACGUG
Molecule: ribosomal RNA, 508 nt
Filed under: uncultured bacterium
Lineage: Bacteria
Description: partial 16S ribosomal RNA
Rfam family: Bacterial small subunit ribosomal RNA
Source: RNAcentral